GGUUAUAUAGUGUAGUGGUUAGCACCCGGGAUUUUGAUUCCCGUAACCCAAGUUCGACUCUUGGUAUGACCA
RNAcentral lists this transfer RNA (72 nucleotides) under Rhizoctonia solani AG-8 WAC10335. RNAcentral describes it as "tRNA-Gln (TTG) (tRNA-Gln-TTG-1-1)". It matches the Rfam family "tRNA". From Rfam's summary of the family: Transfer RNA (tRNA) molecules are approximately 80 nucleotides in length. Their secondary structure includes four short double-helical elements and three loops (D, anti-codon, and T loops). Further hydrogen bonds mediate the characteristic L-shaped molecular structure. tRNAs have two regions of fundamental functional importance: the anti-codon, which is responsible for specific mRNA codon recognition, and the 3' end, to which the tRNAs corresponding amino acid is attached (by aminoacyl-tRNA synthetases). tRNAs cope with the degeneracy of the genetic code in two manners: having more than one tRNA (with a specific anti-codon) for a particular amino acid; and 'wobble' base-pairing, i.e. permitting non-standard base-pairing at the 3rd anti-codon position. The record is from RNAcentral. Lineage: Eukaryota; Fungi; Basidiomycota; Agaricomycetes; Cantharellales; Ceratobasidiaceae.